AGUAAUGCGUGACCAACCUCGCCCCAUGCUCCAGAAUAGCUCUUGGAAACGGGUGGUAAUGCUGGAUGCUCCAACUUGACGCAUGUCUUGUUGGGAAAGUGUUUAGUGGCAUGGGAUGGGGUCGCGUCCUAUCAGCUUGUAGGCGGGGUAAUGGCCCACCUAGGCUUCGACGGGUAGCCGGCCUGAGAGGGCGGACGGCCACAUUGGGACUGAGAUACGGCCCAGACUCCUACGGGAGGCAGCAGGG
This 247-nucleotide ribosomal RNA is filed under the name uncultured Gardnerella sp. RNAcentral describes it as "partial 16S ribosomal RNA". It matches the Rfam family "Bacterial small subunit ribosomal RNA", at positions 109 to 354 of the family's 1533-position model. The record is from RNAcentral. Lineage: Bacteria; Bacillati; Actinomycetota; Actinomycetes; Bifidobacteriales; Bifidobacteriaceae.